GACAGAAUGAAUUUUCCUUUUUUGGCCUCCGUGUUCAUUCAUUGAAAAAAAUGGACAUCGUUUUUUAGAUUUUUCUCGUUGAAACUUUCAAGAAGCUCUACUCGUAUUCUAUUUUAAGAAACAAUCACAUUUUCUUAUUUGGACGGAUUGUAUUUUCCUUUUUCGGCCUCCGUAUUCAUUAUUAGAAAAAAUGGAUAUCGUUUUUGAAUGCCUCUUAGUCAAAACUUUCAAGAAGUUCUACUCAUUUGUGCAUUUCGAUAUAGUUGACGUCAGAUCUUGUCAGUGCUUUGGCAGGGCUGGCGUUGAUAUGGAACUCUUGGUGAUUCACAUAUUUUAUGGAAGUGUCAAUUAAUGUAUGAUGUGAGAGUGAAUUAGAAUUCAUAAGUGUAAAAUAAGUCAAAUUGACGUAAAAAUCGUAUUUUCCGCAAUUCAUCUUAAGACUUGCUAUGUGUGGCUGAAGUCAUUUGAAUAAUAAUUGACUAAUAAUAACACUUAAAAUUUGGUAAGCUUAAAA
Cicer arietinum (chickpea) is the source of this 514-nucleotide long non-coding RNA. RefSeq lists it as uncharacterized. NCBI's taxonomy places the organism in Eukaryota, Viridiplantae, Streptophyta, Magnoliopsida, Fabales, Fabaceae. The record is from RefSeq and is a predicted model, not a curated record.